CAGAUUCACUUGGACGUGACAUGACUUUCCUCGUCGGUACGGUAAAGACCAUGGUGGAUCUACAGAAGAGACAGGAAAGUUCGUCUCAGAAAAUGGAUCAAAAGAUUUCGAAUAUCAUAGGCUCGCUGAGCAAUCUCAAGUUUAUGAUUGAAAAACACGUGAAUGAUCAACGCAACUGCUUUCCACCACCACCUCCCCAUCACAGGAGACACCGCCCUCCUCCCCCACCUGAUGGUCACAGAAGACACCCUCCUCCCCCACCUCAUGGUCGCAGAAGACACCCCCUCCACCCCCACCUGAUGGUCACAGAAGACACCCCCUCCACCCCCACCUGAUGGUCACAGGGGACGCCCCCUCCUCCACGCCAUGACUACAGACACCGCCCUCCUCCUCCUCCUCCUCCUCCCCCUCCUCCCCUGCCCCUGUCACGUCUGGACCUAUCCUUGUCCAACCUCCACAGGAAAGUGACCCUCCGAUUGAUACCCCUCCUCCUGAGAAACAAGCAGAUGAAAGUUCCAGAUCAUGGGGGUUGAUCUGACCUAGGAACCACCUGCCUCUUCAUCAGUGAGCAAAAAUGAGUCACACCAUGAAAUAAAUAAUAAGGAAUUA
Haliotis rubra (blacklip abalone) is the source of this 609-nucleotide long non-coding RNA. RefSeq lists it as uncharacterized. The transcript is spliced from 3 exons. NCBI's taxonomy places the organism in Eukaryota, Metazoa, Mollusca, Gastropoda, Lepetellida, Haliotidae. The record is from RefSeq and is a predicted model, not a curated record.